GAUGAACGCUAGCGGCAGGCUUAACACAUGCAAGUCGAGGGGCAACACGGGUAGCAAUACCUGGGUGGCGACCGGCGCAAGGGUGCGUAACGCGUGAGCAACAUGCCCUAUACAGGGGGAUAAUCCAGGGAAACUUGGUCUAAUAUCCCAUAGUAUUUAGAGGUGGCAUCACCACUAAAUUAAAGCUUCGGUGGUAUAGGAUUGGCUCGCGUGACAUUAGCUGGAUGGUGGGGUAACGGCUCACCAUGGCGAUGAUGUCUAGGGGUUCUGAGAGGAAGACCCCCCACACUGGGACUGAGACACGGCCCAGACUCCUACGGGAGGCAGCAGUGAGGAAUAUUGGACAAUGGAUGGAAAUCUGAUCCAGCCAUGCCGCGUGCAGGAAGACAGCCCUAUGGGUUGUAAACUGCUUUUAUAUGGGAGCAAUAAGGUCUACGUGUAGACUGAUGAGAGUACCAUAUGAAUAAGCAUCGGA
Molecule: ribosomal RNA, 475 nt
Filed under: uncultured bacterium
Lineage: Bacteria
Description: bacterial SSU rRNA
Rfam family: Bacterial small subunit ribosomal RNA
Source: RNAcentral